UCUGGAAGACUAGAAUGCACACGUGCGCUAUGUUAUGGUCGAUGUUGCACGAAAUAGUUAGUGGAGAACACAACUUACCAUAUGCAAGAUAUGUCGUUUUUGGAUUAUAGACGCAUCUUAAAGAUUAUUGAAUGUUUGUUCAUUUUGGACGAAUCUAAUUGAGUACCACUGUAGAGUCUCAAAAAUUGACGGGAUAUUUAUUUUCGUUCGAAAACCAGUGAACCAUCUUUCAAAACUUACAAGUGGGCAUGAGUUAACACAAAAUGAUCGAAUUCACCGGGAGCAGACUAAGGAG
Molecule: long non-coding RNA, 295 nt
Organism: Erigeron canadensis
Lineage: Eukaryota; Viridiplantae; Streptophyta; Magnoliopsida; Asterales; Asteraceae
Exons: 2
Source: RefSeq, a predicted model, not a curated record